RNAcentral lists this unclassified non-coding RNA (220 nucleotides) under Hevea brasiliensis (rubber tree). The record is from RNAcentral. Lineage: Eukaryota; Viridiplantae; Streptophyta; Magnoliopsida; Malpighiales; Euphorbiaceae.
UUAACAGUUAAAUAUCUAUUUAAUAACAGCAUAAGAAGGCUCUGAUAAGAAUUAAAAUCAGAGAUUAUUAAGAGAAGGAGAAGAUGUAAAGGGGCUUUUGAUGUUAGCUAUAUUGUGAAAAGAGGUGGCAAUAGCUUUAGUUUAAGAGAAAGAAAGAAGAAAAAAAGAGUUGAAAGGAAUAAUUGAAUUCUAGAAUAGGAGAGUAAUUUAAGUGUGGGGA